RNAcentral lists this ribosomal RNA (405 nucleotides) under Triticum aestivum (bread wheat). Its description in RNAcentral is "partial small subunit ribosomal RNA". Lineage: Eukaryota; Viridiplantae; Streptophyta; Magnoliopsida; Poales; Poaceae. The record is from RNAcentral.
AUGAACUUGCCAGAACCCAUACCCUCGAGCAACGAGUACUUAAUCACCUCAAAGUUGUGGGCGGCGGUGACACACUCGGUCAGCCAUCUCGAGGACGUCUCAGGUAUGGGCUUGUUAAUUGCAGACGUUAAAAUGUUACCCAUGUUGCGGAAGCUGGAAAGGAAUCAAACGGAAACUUUCAGGAUGUGGCUGUAUCCUGUGACUAACAAUGAAGGGAGAUCAGGGGGCAUGCAUGUGGAAAUGAUGGAUCUGCAUCACACAAUGAAGGGAUUCGCAUCACAUAAUCAAGGGAGAUCAAAUGGUCUCAGGUUCGUGGUGAGCCGUGGCGCUGUGAAGUCGGAGGAGAUGUUGAGCAGCGGGCCGGCGAUGACUGCAAGCGACGGCUGGAAGAAGAAGAAGCCCUAG